This 1354-nucleotide long non-coding RNA is filed under the name Vigna radiata. Its description in RNAcentral is "long non-coding RNA (VRAD_LNC009674)". The record is from RNAcentral. Lineage: Eukaryota; Viridiplantae; Streptophyta; Magnoliopsida; Fabales; Fabaceae.
GAAAAUAAAGUAAUAAAAGAAACUCUAAAAACGCAAGAUGUGCAGCUCCAAGUGCGGCCACUGUAAACGGCAGUUCGCCUCAUCCGCACUUUCAAAUGCGCGGCUAGCCUCAUCCGCACUCUAAGUGCGGCUGCAUGCAAAAGUGCCGAAUCCAACCGCAGGUCCUACUACGACGACCUGCAGCUCUCCUAGUGCGAUUCUCAUCUCUCCCAACCGCACUUCCAUGUGCAGCUGGGCCUGAUCCGUAAUUCUAAGUGCGGUUAAAGCCCCGAUUUCUUCCCUCAUCACAUAUUAAAAACGAAACAAAGAGAUAAAAACGAAACAAGCACAGAUCAACGCGUAUCAAAUACAGAUUCUAUAAUAACAACAGAUCUACCAUUUUAUCAAACUCAAAGCAUCAUACACUCUGUUAUAUCAAUGAGCUUAAGGAAAUCUGAAAAAAAAACCCAACCUGGACGCCCAAAGCUUGAUGUUAACUCUCUGAGAAGAAUAAGAUCUAUACUGUUGCACUAAACAUUACACAACCACACAGCCACAAAAUCAGAUACUAAGGGAGGAAGUGAGGAGCACUCUGCGAGAAGAACUUAAAAACAAAUGAAGUUGGUGAUCAGGAAGAGGGGAGGAGUGCGGGACGAAAAAAAAUGUGAGUUUAAAAUGAAAUGCAGCAAGGAGGAGGAGGAAGGGAGGAAGAGGUGUAGGGUUUAAAAAAUAAUCUGAAAUGCGGUAAGGCUGAACUCAAUGAAGUAGGGGUGUAGGAGUCCUGCUUCACUUUAAUCAUUCAUUGGGUCAGCUUUUUUAAAGUAAAAGAUUCUUUCUAACAAGGGUAGAGUUGCAAAUAAAAAAAUAAAAAAAAGUGCAGAAUGAUACUGGUGAGACGCAGGUAAAAGCCGGAAAAUUUAGACAUAUUAAUGCUUGUGGAGACACAUGGGUUGAAAAAACAUUAAUGUUAAAAUAAAAGAAAGAUUUUCACAUAUAUUCAAUUAAACAUUCAGGAUUAGAGAUUCUAAGAAUAAUUUUAUAUUUUUAUUUAUUUUAACACUAAAUUACGAUCAACUUUUAGGUUAUUGACUUUUUAGUGGUCAAUCCUUUUUAAGUGUCUUUCUGGAUAAGAGAAAACUUUUGUAAUUUUUCAUGAAGUUUUCUAGUGAGUUUAUAAUAUUGUCCUUUCUUGAGAAUUGUUUCUUAUCUUAUUUUUGAGAUGUUUUACCCUCAGAAAAGAUUAAAAUAAUAUAACUAAAAGUGUUUUUUUAAUGUAUUCCGAUAAAUAGAAGUGAUUUGUGUACUCAAAUAAAAUCAAUACUGACCUAUGUAGUUAUUAUAAUUAUAAGUAAUUUAUGAAUUUAUUGUAAAAUCU